RNAcentral lists this long non-coding RNA (753 nucleotides) under Homo sapiens (human). RNAcentral describes it as "HSALNT0328340". Lineage: Eukaryota; Metazoa; Chordata; Mammalia; Primates; Hominidae. The record is from RNAcentral.
AGUGGGCGGAGAAGGCGUUACAAGCCAAGGGUGCCUGUGCGUAGGCGGGGAAAUCUGGUAGAUCCAUAGGAACUCCUGGGUCCUAGGGUUAAGGGAGUGAGCCCCCUACCCUGACCUUUGCUUCCAACUCCCAUAGAGGGUGUCAAAUCUUAUGUACUGGGACUCCUAAAACAUCUGAAGUCUACCAUCUCCUUCCUAGCCUCAUCUUCCUGGGCCCUUAAAUACCUCUUCCUAGAUGAAGGCAGCACCUUGAGACUAAAUUCAACCCAACACUACAGGUUGGGUUGCAGAUAUGGCCUUGAAGCAAUGGUAAAGGAAAAAGAAUCAGAAAAUUGGCUGCCAUCGCUACAGGCUGUGUACUUAGUUAUGUGUCAUCUGUAUCUCUACUGCAACCCUUGCUAGAAUGUGUGCCGGCUAUGAGCAGGGUCACUGUCUGUCUUGUUCACUGCUAGAUCCUCAGCACGUGGAACUAUACCUGGAACAUGGAAGGAAGUCAAGCAAUAUUUAUUUAAUGUUAAAUAAGUGAAUCUCUGUAGCAUUAAUGGUAAAAAGACUUCCAUAUUUGCCUUCAAUUAGAUUUUAAGAUGACAGUCUAUAAAAAACAGCUUGCAAUAUACAGAAGUUCAUUUAAGAAUAACUUUGCUGGUAUCUAUUCUCUUGAGGUAUACUUACAUGCUAUUUUUUUCAAAAUCACGAAGCAAUCAGUAUCUGCCAAACGGAAUGAAAGCUGGAUCACAAAGAGGGAUAAAGAAG